UACGUAGGGGGCUAGCGUUGUCCGGAUUUAUUGGGCGUAAAGAGCGUGUAGGCGGCCAGGUAGGUCUGGUGUGAAAACUCGAGGCUUAACCUCGAGAUGUCAUCGGAAACCAUCUGGCUAGAGUCCGGAAGAGGAGAGUGGAAUUCCUGGUGCAGCGGUGAAAUGCGCAGAUAUCAGGAAGAACACCAAUGGCGAAAGCAGCUCUCUGGGACGGUACUGACGCUGAGACGCGAAAGCGUGGGGAGCGAACAGG
This 253-nucleotide ribosomal RNA is filed under the name uncultured bacterium. RNAcentral describes it as "partial 16S ribosomal RNA". It matches the Rfam family "Bacterial small subunit ribosomal RNA", at positions 524 to 776 of the family's 1533-position model. The record is from RNAcentral.